This 465-nucleotide ribosomal RNA is filed under the name Vreelandella stevensii. Its description in RNAcentral is "partial 16S ribosomal RNA". It matches the Rfam family "Bacterial small subunit ribosomal RNA", at positions 338 to 795 of the family's 1533-position model. The record is from RNAcentral. Lineage: Bacteria; Pseudomonadati; Pseudomonadota; Gammaproteobacteria; Oceanospirillales; Halomonadaceae.
CCUACGGGAGGCUGCAGUGGGGAAUAUUGGACAAUGGGGGGAACCCUGAUCCAGCCAUGUCGCGUGUGUGAAGAAGGCCCUCGGGUUGUAAAGCACUUUCAGUGAGGAAGAACGCCUGGUGGUUAAUACCCAUCAGGAAAGACAUCACUCACAGAAGAAGCACCGGCUAACUCCGUGCCAGCAGCCGCGGUAAUACGGAGGGUGCGAGCGUUAAUCGGAAUUACUGGGCGUAAAGCGCGCGUAGGUGGCUUGAUAAGCCGGUUGUGAAAGCCCCGGGCUCAACCUGGGAACGGCAUCCGGAACUGUCAAGCUAGAGUGCAGGAGAGGAAGGUAGAAUUCCCGGUGUAGCGGUGAAAUGCGUAGAGAUCGGGAGGAAUACCAGUGGCGAAGGCGGCCUUCUGGACUGACACUGACACUGAGGUGCGAAAGCGUGGGUAGCAAACAGGAUUAGAUACCCCAGUAGUC